GGGGUGCAGCAGGCGCGAAAACUCUGCAAUAAGCGAAAGCUUGACAGGGUUAUUCUGAGUGAUUUCCGCUAAGGAAAUCUUUUGGCACCUCUAAAAAUGGUGCAGAAUAAGGGGUGGGCAAGUCUGGUGUCAGCCGCCGCGGUAAUACCAGCACCCCGAGUGGUCGGGACGAUUAUUGGGCCUAAAGCAUCCGUAGCCGGUACUGCAAGUCCUCCGUUAAAUCCACCUGCUUAACAGAUGGGCUGCGGGGGAUACUACAGAGCUAGGAGGCGGGAGAGGCAAGCGGUACUCAAUGGGUAGGGGUAAAAUCCGUUGAUCCAUUGAAGACCACCAGUGGCGAAGGCGGCUUGCCAGAACGCGCUCGACGGUGAGGGAUGAAAGCUGGGGGAGCAAACCGGAUUAGAUACCCGGGUAGUCCCAGCUGUAAACGAUGCAGACUCGGUGAUGGGUAGGCUUUGUGCCAACUCAGUGCCGCAGGGAAGCCGUUAAGUCUGCCGCCUGGGGAGUACGGUCGCAAGACUGAAACUUAAAGGAAU
This 536-nucleotide ribosomal RNA is filed under the name uncultured crenarchaeote. RNAcentral describes it as "bacterial SSU rRNA". It matches the Rfam family "Archaeal small subunit ribosomal RNA", at positions 327 to 865 of the family's 1478-position model. Lineage: Archaea; Thermoproteati; Thermoproteota. The record is from RNAcentral.